Long non-coding RNA from Betta splendens (Siamese fighting fish), 2372 nucleotides. Lineage: Eukaryota; Metazoa; Chordata; Actinopteri; Anabantiformes; Osphronemidae. The record is from Ensembl.
AUCCAAUCACAUGAUCACGUCGAUGUUUCGCGUCUCUCCUCGUGUGGUCUGUAUUUCAAAAUAAGAGCCGUGACCAGAAGUUGACUCCAAAAAUAUUAAAAAUAUUAUUUAAAAUGAGGAACGCUUCACGAAUUUGCGUGUCAUCCUUGCGCCAUCCCUAAACCGAUGCUCCCUUUCCGGUUGUCCUACAUGGCUUGCAUCCUAAUUGGUCUGUCCUACUUGUCAGCUAAACGAUGUAAUUGGCUAGUUUAGUUGGACACCGCGAAAAGGAGGCGUCAGUUUGAUUCUACUUCACUGCCAUUUCGUUUUUACAGACUCAGUCUUUGUCGACAUUUCUUUCUUUACAGCGAUAAACUUUAUUGUGAGUAGCGGACUUUUCACGAAGAUCAUGGACCAUCGCCCUUUGUUCCGUGUGCAGCCUUCGUCCACUGAGCUCACUCUCAGGCCCUCACCAGAAGCACUGACGGUGGCCCAGGCCUAUCAUGGGUCUGAGGCAUGGAAGGUGAAGGUGCCUCAAAAGGUGAAGGAGGAGGCGCAAGCUCGCACUCUGCAAGGAGGAGGAGAUCCCCACUGCUCCCAGCUGCUUCUCAGCCAAUAUGAGAUCCAGUUUGGGCAGUACCGGGGACAGACCUUCAAGUGGCUCCUGAGUCACGACGUGGGCUACGCUGUGUCCCUGCUGGCCUCACACCAGAAGGAGCGGGAGAGUGGUGACACAUCCAGCUCACCACUUAUGGCCAACAAGGUGCUGUGGAGUACAACACAGAAAUAUCUCACUCAUCCUAGUACAGUAAAAGUAGAGCCAUCAUUAGAACUAUUAUACGGAUCCCAACUCACACAGCUCAAUCAGAGCAAUCAUCAAGAAAUUCCUAUUUCUGUCAUAAUACACAUAUUCUGUUCUCCCGCUACACAGGAUGCCCUCACCUCCUACAGCAAGCUGUUCCCAGAGGUGAUGUCAGCCGUGGAGGGACGCCGUGCCACGGAGGGUUCCAAGUCUGUCCGGAGCCAAGACAAGAAGUUGGUGGAGUUCGGCCCCCACGGAGCCAUGACCUACGCCUCCAUGUACGAGGCCACGGGGAAAGAGGUUGAGACCUACGUGCAGUGGCUGAGGAAGAAGAAGUGCAUCCCAGGCAGCUCUCUGCAUGCUUUAAAGACCUACAUACUGGGCCGGGACCAGGAGAAGAACCAGCAUCCCUCCCAGCAGCCCCAGUGCCCACCAUCUGACGGUGUUGUGCUCCCAGUUGCUGUUCCUGCUGCCUCCACGCGUGUCUCUGAAAAGCUGAUUUCUUUGUCUUCUCUGUGUGAAACAGCUGCUAACGAGCCCUCAGACGAGAUGCUCCCUGGCUGCUGCCUUAGAGGUGGAGAGUCAGCGUGAGUUCACUCACACGCACACGCACACAUGCCAAUGGUUAUAACCCUUUAUCAAAUGUAAUGAUUCUGUGGUGAACGUGUUUGGACCUGAUAAUAGCUGUUAUUCUGUUAUUCAGAAGCCUUCUAUGGAUUAAUGGUGUAAAACUGUAUGUAAGUUAUAAGGUGACUACGAGGUAAGGUUGAUGUUUACUGGACCCUGUAGAGAUCAGCUGUAGGCCUAACAACCUAACCUUGGUAGAUACUCACGCUUCGCUGUCCGUCUGUAUGUCAUCACAUUAUGGUAUGGUGAUUGUUGUUGUCCGUCAGUAGUUUAACUGGCAUAGUAAAGUUUGUUCUGUGCACAGAACACAGACAUCAGACAGAUUCAACGACACGUGUUGUGGAAUCUCUCUCAUGUCUGAGUAUUUGCAUGACUUUGAUUACUUUUAGUUAUUUUUGCAGAGGUCCCAUCUUCAGCCUCCACUCCUGUGCCCGUUGAUGACCUGGACCUGUCUUCCAGUGGUGACAGCAGCGUCGCCGUGCGGCCCAGGACCAGAGCUGCAGCCGCAGCUGAGGGCUGUCCUAAACCCUCGCGGCCAAUUAGUGGCUCAGAGGUGAGACACCCCCCUCCCUCCCUCUGCAGGGCAGCUCCCCCCACUGUGCUUCAAAUUGUUUGGCUUGUGCUCACCUUUUGUCUGUUUUCUGUGGUGAAGUUGCUGCCUGCAUCCCCCACUGUGCUUCACAUUGUUUGGCUUGUGCUGACCUUUUGUCUGUUUCUGUGUUGAAGCUGCUGCCUCACAGCUGGAGGCAGACUCUGCCGGAGGAGCAGCAGGACUGGGUGGGCCGGGCUCUGUUCACCAGGAACGCCAGGGGCCAGCGUGUCCUCACCACCGACCUUCGCCUCUGGUGGUACCCUCCCGGAGCCCGGCCCCUCUACACCCAGACCCCUGCAUCGUCCCACGCCUUCUUCCAGAGGCCGUUCUUCCUGUGGCUGCCCUACAAGAUGUGGGCGUGCAGGCUUGUGU